CACCGGCGGCUCGAGUGGUAACCGUUAUUAUUGGGUCUAAAGGGUCUGUAGCCGGCCGGAUAAGUCUCUUGAGAAAUCUGGCAGCUUAACAGUCAGGCUUUCAGGAGAUACUGUCUGGCUCGAGGCCGGGAGAGGUGAGAGGUACUUCAGGGGUAGGGUGAAAUCUUGUAAUCCUUGAGGACCACCAGUGGCGAAGGCGUCUCACCAGAACGGACCUGACGGCAAGGGACGAAAGCUAGGGGCACGAACCGGAUUAGAUACCCUGGUAGUCCCUGAGCGGG
This 281-nucleotide ribosomal RNA is filed under the name uncultured prokaryote. RNAcentral describes it as "partial 16S ribosomal RNA". It matches the Rfam family "Archaeal small subunit ribosomal RNA", at positions 474 to 754 of the family's 1478-position model. The record is from RNAcentral.